GACGAACGCUGGCGGCGUGCUUAACACAUGCAAGUCGAACGAAGAGCGAUGGAAGCUUGCUUCUAUCAAUCUUAGUGGCGAACGGGUGAGUAACGCGUAAUCAACCUGCCCUUCAGAGGGGGACAACAGUUGGAAACGACUGCUAAUACCGCAUACGAUCUAAUCUCGGCAUCGAGGAUAGAUGAAAGGUGACCUCUACAUGUAAGCUAUCACUGAAGGAGGGGAUUGCGUCUGAUUAGCUAGUUGGAGGGGUAACGGCCCACCAAGGCGAUGAUCAGUAGCCGGUCUGAGAGGAUGAACGGCCACAUUGGGACUGAGACACGGCCCAGACUCCUACGGGAGGCAGCAGUGGGGAAUCUUCCGCAAUGGACGAAAGUCUGACGGAGCAACGCCGCGUGAGUGAUGACGGCCUUCGGGUUGUAAAGCUCUGUUAAUCGGGACGAAAGGCCUUCUUGCGAAUAGUGAGAAGGAUUGACGGUACCGGAAUAGAAAGCCACGGCUAACUACGUG
Molecule: ribosomal RNA, 510 nt
Filed under: uncultured bacterium
Lineage: Bacteria
Description: partial 16S ribosomal RNA
Rfam family: Bacterial small subunit ribosomal RNA
Source: RNAcentral